GUCAGCAGCCAUAUCACCCUGCAACUCACAACUCAGCAGGUGUGAGCCUGGUCAGUACCUGGAUGGGAGACCUCCUGGAAAAGCUAAGGCUGCUGGAA
Molecule: ribosomal RNA, 98 nt
Filed under: Lepisosteus oculatus (spotted gar)
Lineage: Eukaryota; Metazoa; Chordata; Actinopteri; Semionotiformes; Lepisosteidae
Source: RNAcentral